Daphnia pulicaria is the source of this 614-nucleotide long non-coding RNA. RefSeq lists it as uncharacterized. The record is from RefSeq and is a predicted model, not a curated record. The transcript is spliced from 2 exons. Lineage: Eukaryota; Metazoa; Arthropoda; Branchiopoda; Diplostraca; Daphniidae.
GUAAAUUUGGCAACGGCGUUAAAUUAAUUGCUGCACGAGUUGUGCACUAAAUUCGACCAAAUUAAAUUACAAAAAUGAAAAAUGUGAUCGUCGUGUCUCGUUAUCUCUUCAUUAGUUCCAAAAUUACAGGUUGAGAAUAAAAAUAGUGUAAUAAUGGGGGGCUCAAUCAAAUUGAGUUCAUUAUUGUAAACUUGUACUAUUUAAGUGCCUGACUUGCACUUGUUAGCAAGUAAGCCCCCAAGUGAAAGCAUGCUUUUGCCAUUUACUUAAUUUGCAAUGCAAGUUCAUCUUUCUCUACAUCUUCUUUGUGCAGUUUUAUUGUGUCCUGAGUCAGCCAUUGCCAUCAAAGUUUUGCUUAUCAUCAUUCAACUUGCCAUCAGCAGCAGUGCCAGCUCCAUCGACAGGAUAAACAACAACAUCUUUAAAUGGAGAAUCCACCGAUGAUAAGUCAUCUCUUAUUUCCCCUUCUUUUAAUUCCUCUGUACUCGUGUACAGAGUACACUCAUGUGAAUGUGAUUGUUUUCACGAGGAUUCCCGCCUGGCGUGUUAAUUUUUUUUUAAAGGAUGGAUUACAUGGAGAUGCCUGACUGUAUUUCCCAGGUUACAAGGUAGAA